Molecule: ribosomal RNA, 254 nt
Filed under: uncultured bacterium
Lineage: Bacteria
Description: partial 16S ribosomal RNA
Rfam family: Bacterial small subunit ribosomal RNA
Source: RNAcentral
GACGAACCGUGCGAACGUUAUUCGGAAUCAUUGGGCUUAAAGGGCGCGUAGGCGGCGGUGUAAGUUGGAAGUGAAAUCCCAUCGGCUCAACCGUGGAAUUGCUCCCAGUACUGCAUCGCUCGAGGGGGAUAGGGGUCUGCGGAACUACCGGUGGAGCGGUGAAAUGUGUUGAUAUCGGUGGGAACGCCAGUGGCGAAAGCGGCAGACUAGACCCUUCCUGACGCUGAUGCGCGAAAGCUAGGGGAGCAGACGGG